AUUUCUGGAGAAUGAUCAGCUAUUCAUUGGCCUUAGGAGCCAAGCAUCCUAGUGCAAACCCAGGCAGAAGUU
Molecule: transfer RNA, 72 nt
Filed under: Chauliodus sloani (Sloane's viperfish)
Lineage: Eukaryota; Metazoa; Chordata; Actinopteri; Stomiiformes; Stomiidae
Also listed under: 1 other name
Description: tRNA-Leu (CUN)
Source: RNAcentral